AUUGAACGCUGGCGGCAGGCCUAACACAUGCAAGUCGAGCGGAGCGGCGGACGGGUGGGUGAGUCCUAUGAGUGUGCCUGGUAGUUGGGGGGAACGAACGGAAACGGACGCUAAUACCGCAUACUAUCAGCUGAGCCAAGGUCGGAGUGGCUAGUUGGUGGGUGAAAGGCCUACCAAGGCGAGGAUCCGUAACUGGUCUGAGAGGAUGAUCAGUCACACUGGAACUGAGACACGGUCCAGACUCCUACGGGAGGCAGCAGUGGGGAAUAUUGGACAAUGGGCGCAAGCCUGAUCCAGCCAUGCCGCGUGUGGGAAGAAGGUCUUCGGGUUGUAAAGUACUUUCAGUUGGGAGGCGUUACCAACAGAAUAAGCACCGGCUAACUCCGUGCCAGCAGCCGCGGUAAUUC
Molecule: ribosomal RNA, 407 nt
Filed under: uncultured bacterium
Lineage: Bacteria
Description: partial 16S ribosomal RNA
Rfam family: Bacterial small subunit ribosomal RNA
Source: RNAcentral